This 86-nucleotide non-coding RNA is filed under the name Pseudomonas sp. 8AS. Lineage: Bacteria; Pseudomonadati; Pseudomonadota; Gammaproteobacteria; Pseudomonadales; Pseudomonadaceae. The record is from RNAcentral.
CGUUAUGGUGGCUGUAUGCGGGGCGCUUCGGCGCACCGAGUUCCUAGAGUCUCGGUCUUCCACACCCGCAUACAGCCGCCACCCAU